AUGGCCGCAUGGGAAUCUGGAGUUGACCUGAAGAAUCUCUCAACUCAUGGCAGCUACAUCCUCAGCUCUCAUUUUGACAAGUCCACGUAUAAUACCGUGCUAUCAUUUCUUGGUGUUAAAAGUGUGAGCACCGAGUGGUACGUCAAAUGCAUCGAGGGCUCUAAUCUUGUCAAGGAGGUAAAUGAACAGAUUUAUCUCGAGGUUUUAUCCUUUGUCGCCGACAAUUGGCAGAACUGUUUCUCCGGUACAAAAAUGAUGUCUAUUCCCCUGCUGAAGUAUGUUGAUCGGAACAAUGCUAUCUCUUUCUGGAGCAUUUCUAAAGCUACUCAACUGAGUGACAGAUUGUGCAUUGCAUCUGAGAAGAAGUGCAUACCUAGCUCUUGGUUUUCCUGA
This 393-nucleotide ribosomal RNA is filed under the name Triticum aestivum (bread wheat). RNAcentral's name for it is "partial small subunit ribosomal RNA". The record is from RNAcentral. Lineage: Eukaryota; Viridiplantae; Streptophyta; Magnoliopsida; Poales; Poaceae.